RNAcentral lists this unclassified non-coding RNA (220 nucleotides) under plant metagenome. RNAcentral's name for it is "partial contains small subunit ribosomal RNA, internal transcribed spacer 1, and 5.8S ribosomal RNA". The record is from RNAcentral.
UUUCCGUAGGUGAACCUGCGGAAGGAUCAUUACAGAGUUCAUGCCCUCACGGGUAGAUCUCCCACCCUUGAAUAUUUAUACCUUAGUUGCUUUGGCAGGCCGUGGAAACACCGUGGGCUCCGGCUUAUGCGUGCCUGCCAGAGGAAACAAACUCUGUUUUUAGUGAUGUCUGAGUACUAUAUAAUAGUUAAAACUUUCAACAACGGAUCUCUUGGUUCUG